GACGAACGCUGGCGGCGUGCUUAACACAUGCAAGUCGAACGGAAAGGCCCAGCUUGCUGGGUACUCGAGUGGCGAACGGGUGAGUAACACGUGGGUGAUCUGCCCCUGACUUUGGGAUAAGCCUGGGAAACUGGGUCUAAUACCGGAUAUGACCUUACAUCGCAUGGUGUUUGGUGGAAAGCUUUUGCGGCUGGGGAUGGGCCCGCGGCCUAUCAGCUUGUUGGUGGGGUAAUGGCCUACCAAGGCGACGACGGGUAGCCGACCUGAGAGGGUGAUCGGCCACACUGGGACUGAGACACGGCCCAGACUCCUACGGGAGGCAGCAGUGGGGAAUAUUGCACAAUGGGCGCAAGCCUGAUGCAGCGACGCCGCGUGAGGGAUGACGGCCUUCGGGUUGUAAACCUCUUUCACCAGGGACGAAGCGUGAGUGACGGUACCUGGAGAAGAAGCACCGGCCAACUACGUG
Molecule: ribosomal RNA, 466 nt
Filed under: uncultured bacterium
Lineage: Bacteria
Description: partial 16S ribosomal RNA
Rfam family: Bacterial small subunit ribosomal RNA
Source: RNAcentral